Molecule: long non-coding RNA, 441 nt
Filed under: Gallus gallus (chicken)
Lineage: Eukaryota; Metazoa; Chordata; Aves; Galliformes; Phasianidae
Source: RNAcentral
CACGGAUUAACUCACCAGUAAGAAAACUACGCUUUGUGGGAAGACUUGUAACCAAAUCCUCCUUCCUCAGGAAUUCUAAGCAACUACUCAGCGCUGUCGUGGGGCGGUGACCUCCACCGGGACCGCAGGGUUUUCAUGAUGCAGUCUGACAUGCUGGCCAGCUUCUCCUGCAUCUCAAACAGGCGGCUGCCGGGGUAGCUGCGGAGAUCUUCGGAGGUGAGCUGAGCAGCGAGCAAAUCCAUCUGGCUCAGAAGAUCUGCAGGGGGUGGGCUGCUGCUGCUCAGGGCAAUGGCUUCACCCAGAUCCGUUGCAAGUUUUUCCUCAUCCACAGGAGGAGAUUUAUCCUCUGCACUGUUUACUGUUCUCUCCCCGUCUUCGAGCGCUCCGAUUUCUUCACACCCUCGAGAUUUUACCUGUUGCUCAUGAUAUCCUCUGAGAGCU